GANGCGCGUGGCGNNCCCCCUAUACAUGCAAGCUCGAGCGGAUGANAGGAGCUUGCUCCUGGAUUCAGCGGCGGACGGGUGAGUAAUGCCUAGGAAUCUGCCUGGUAGUGGGGGACAACGUUUCGAAAGGAACGCUAAUACCGCAUACGUCCUACGGGAGAAAGCAGGGGACCUUCGGGCCUUGCGCUAUCAGAUGAGCCUAGGUCGGAUUAGCUAGUUGGUGAGGUAAUGGCUCACCAAGGCGACGAUCCGUAACUGGUCUGAGAGGAUGAUCAGUCACACUGGAACUGAGACACGGUCCAGACUCCUACGGGAGGCAGCAGUGGGGAAUAUUGGACAAUGGGCGAAAGCCUGAUCCAGCCAUGCCGCGUGUGUGAAGAAGGUCUUCGGAUUGUAAAGCACUUUAAGUUGGGAGGAAGGGUUGUAGAUUAAUACUCUGCAAUUUUGACGUUACCGACAGAAUAAGCACCGGCUAACUCUGUGCCAGCAGCCGCGGUAAUACAGAGGGUGCAAGCGUUAAUCGGAAUUACUGGGCGUAAAGCGCGCGUAGGUGGUUUGUUAAGUUGGAUGUGAAAUCCCCGGGCUCAACCUGGGAACUGCAUCCAAAACUGGCAAGCUAGAGUAUGGUAGAGGGUGGUGGAAUUUCCUGUGUAGCGGUGAAAUGCGUAGAUAUAGGAAGGAACACCAGUGGCGAAGGCGACCACCUGGACUGAUACUGACACUGAGGUGCGAAAGCGUGGGGAGCAACAGGAUUAGAUACCCUGGUAGUCCCNCCGUAAACGAUGUCACUAGCCGUUGGGAGCUUGACUCUANUGGCNCACUACCAUAANUNACNCNUGGGANUCGGCCCAGUUAACUCAAUGAUNACGGGCCCCACCGGGACUGGNUUAUCAACACCAAACUCCGGCUGNUCAGAUUCAAAGAUGGCUCGACUUANNGNUAGCUCCCCGCGAAUGUACCACACNCUNCNUCCUAGNGCUAGANGGACGAGGACCAUNGCUCCGCCUAGGAGUNCGGACANNCNCNCCGAANAAA
Molecule: ribosomal RNA, 1035 nt
Filed under: Pseudomonas syringae
Lineage: Bacteria; Pseudomonadati; Pseudomonadota; Gammaproteobacteria; Pseudomonadales; Pseudomonadaceae
Description: partial 16S ribosomal RNA
Rfam family: Bacterial small subunit ribosomal RNA (bases 1-837)
Source: RNAcentral